ACGGACACACAUUUGAUGUAUUAAACGUUUCAUUAGUAAAUAUUUACAAAGAGUUUUACUGUAGCAUCACAUUGUCUAAAUCAUGACGUAAUUGGUCUAAAAGAAAAGCCUUAGUUAAAAGCAAGUAAUGUGAAUCUGAAUGAUUAUUUAAGAGGGGGAGCAGAGAAUAAUAUUUGUUGCAUGCACGCGGUGCACGAUGCGUUGUUUUCUUUCCUACCUUCUCUUUGUAUUUUUAACACGCCAAUAAUUAUAAUGUGCUCAAUCUCAUCGUGAGCAGUGGCAGCCAAGCACAGUAUAUAUACACGCUACUAGCUAGGAUAAGUAUAGUAGCUUAGCUAGCCUCCAGCGAGGAGACGAUGGCGAACGCCGGUGGCAAUGUCGACGUCGUCGUCGCCNNN
Molecule: long non-coding RNA, 398 nt
Filed under: Oryza brachyantha (malo sina)
Lineage: Eukaryota; Viridiplantae; Streptophyta; Magnoliopsida; Poales; Poaceae
Description: long non-coding RNA (OBRA_LNC003404)
Source: RNAcentral